This 581-nucleotide ribosomal RNA is filed under the name Ustilentyloma graminis. RNAcentral describes it as "eukaryotic LSU rRNA". It matches the Rfam family "Eukaryotic large subunit ribosomal RNA", at positions 74 to 668 of the family's 3401-position model. Lineage: Eukaryota; Fungi; Basidiomycota; Microbotryomycetes; Microbotryales; Ustilentylomataceae. The record is from RNAcentral.
AUUCCCUAGUAGCGGCGAGCGAAGCGGGAAGAGCUCAAAUUUAUAAUCUGGCACCUUCGGUGUCCGAGUUGUAAUCUCUAGAAGUGUUUUCCGCGUUGGACCGCACACAAGUCUGUUGGAAUACAGCGGCAUAGUGGUGAAACCCCCGUAUAUGGUGCGGACGCCCAGCGCUUUGUGAUACACUUUCAAUGAGUCGAGUUGUUUGGGAAUGCAGCUCAAAUUGGGUGGUAAAUUCCAUCUAAAGCUAAAUAUUGGCGAGAGACCGAUAGCGAACAAGUACCGUGAGGGAAAGAUGAAAAGCACUUUGGAAAGAGAGUUAACAGUACGUGAAAUUGUUGGAAGGGAAACGCUUGAAGUCAGACUUGCUUGCCGGAGCUUGCUUCGGUUUGCAGGCCAGCAUCAGUUUUCCGGGGUGGAUAAUGACGGUUUGAAGGUAGCAGUCUCGGCUGUGUUAUAGCUUUCCGUUGGAUACAUCCUGGGGGACUGAGGAACGCAGCGUGCUUUUUGCGAAAGACUCGUCUUUUUCACGCUUAGGAUGCUGGUGGAAUGGCUUUAAACGACCCGUCUUGAACAACGGACCA